AAGUCGUAACAAGGUUUCCGUAGGUGAACCUGCGGAAGGAUCAUUACAAAUGCGUCUCACCCGAGUGUGUGAUGACAUCAACUUAUUAACCCUGUGAAUGGUGUGUCACCGAUGGGGGGCGAGUGGCCGCCAACCCGAUUGGCGAUUGGCUGGCCAUUCGCUCCCCUUUUCUUUGGACUAUAUAUGGACAGAGGGGCGCCCGUAUCAUUUAUUGAUGAGGCGCGCGCCCCGUCAUGAUUAUCAUCAUAUAAAACGACGUACAACUUUUAACAAUGGAUCUCUUGGCUCUU
Molecule: unclassified non-coding RNA, 290 nt
Filed under: fungal sp.
Lineage: Eukaryota; Fungi
Description: partial internal transcribed spacer region
Rfam family: Eukaryotic small subunit ribosomal RNA (bases 1-46)
Source: RNAcentral